RNAcentral lists this long non-coding RNA (7128 nucleotides) under Vitis vinifera (wine grape). Its description in RNAcentral is "long non-coding RNA (VVIN_LNC000285)". The record is from RNAcentral. Lineage: Eukaryota; Viridiplantae; Streptophyta; Magnoliopsida; Vitales; Vitaceae.
UUCUUUGCCUGAGCAGUUCGUCCAACACCUCUACAGAAGCGGGUGAAAGGUAUGGCUUGCUUGUGGACCAGAACAUCCUCCAAAUACCUUUUGGCCUUGGCCAAAGGCAACUUCCUAAUGGCAUGAGCAGUCUCCCUUGUGUUCUAUUGAGACAGUAUGGAAAUGAGAUAUACAAUGAUUUAAGUUCACCAUAAACUCAGAUUCUCACAUACAGAAGGAUAUAAAAAAUGAACAACAUGAUAACCAAAAGUAGAGAUGGGCGAAAUAGCAGGUGACCCGGUUGGACAAGCAGGAUCUGCAACAUAAUACCAACCUGGACCUAGCCUCUGGUAAAAAAUCUAUGCAUGAAACAAACCAAGUCUGACCUCAACAGCCAAAACAAUCUGGCUAAUAUAUCAAAAUUUGUAUCAGUGUAACUUUUUUUUUUCUUGGCCUUCUUUAUGGGUAACAAACAAACCACAACUAAUCAAACUGAUGCAGCUUUUAUAACAUAAUCAUAUUUCAGAUGAGCAGAGAAAAAAAAAAAUCAAAGAUCUAACUAAAGUAACAUCUAACGUAAUACAGGCAGUGCAAAUACCACAACUUUUUAGUUUGAAUAAUGAGUUCCUAGAAACACCGUAUUAGGCAGCUAACAGAACUUCUACUAACAAUGUUGCUAUGGCAAUGUAGCUGGUGUAAAGGAAUUGUAUUAUCAGACAUACGAUGGAGAAAAAGGCCUUUUUUUUUGCCACAAGAAUGCAGCAAAAACACUAGUACAAUUUAGAAGGACUCAUCCUACACACCACUUAAUGGAAGGAGUGACAUUCAUUUGAGAACUGUAAGUAUAGUCAAACUCAUCACAAUAUGCCACAAUUUAUUGAACCUUCCAUCACAAACAACUCCAGAGGUUCACCCAAUAAUAAUGAAACUGCUUUCCCUGAAGUUUAUGAGAGAAAUGCUGACAAAGGCAACAGGUCCCUGCUUUUUAUCAGGUUUCACAAACUUAGAUUUGAACAGUUAAAGUAAAAAUCAUUUAUCAUCAUUUAAUGAUGGCAACCAUCAGAGUGUGCCAUUAUUUACUGAGCCUUCCAUCACAAGCAACUCCAGAGGUUCACCCAAUAAUAAUGCAACUAAUUUCCCUGAAGUCUACGAGAGACCUGUUCACAAAGGCAACAAAUCCCUGCUUUUUUCAUCAGGUUCCACAAAGAAGAGAGCAAAUUGUAGUUGAAAAAUUAAGCCAAAAAACCAGCUAACAAGAAAAUAUCAACACCAUUUACUUCUAAAAUGUAAUGGAUAAAGAUUUUGCAAAGGGAAAUGCAUAGAAAAAUGGAUACAACUGCAAAUGGCAAAACUAGCUCUUCAACCAUUUUUUUUUAAUAUUUUAAGGAAAAUUUUAAAUACCAAUUUAUCAGAGAAACAAAUUUACCAUGAUUUACUGAACCUUCAAUCACCAAGAACAAUAUGGGUUCACCCAUGAAGAAUGUCAGGAUUUCCCUGAAGCAAGCAAUAAGCCCUUUCAUAAAGGUAUAAUAGAAUUCUGCUUUUUCUCAUCAGGUUUUACAACAAGAAAAAACAAAACUGAUCAUAUUUUUUUGUUUCCCUUUAUUUAGUAGCUAAAUUGACGAUAACAUGAAAAGGAAGGAAAAACGAGGCAAAGAUCAAACCAACCCUGUCAUGAUGUAACUGGAUUGGAAAUGAACCUUAUUCCCCGAUAUCACAAAGAAAAACCCAAUAUUUUUGCCAUGAAAAAAUUUCAGGAGAACCUUAGUAAAACUUGGACAGAAAUUAAACUCAAAUACCACUUUAAAGAAAGCAUAACACUCAGUUAUGAACAACAAUCAGUUGAUGAAACUCAUUAUAAUGUAACACUAUUUACUGAACCUUCAAUCACAGACAAAACUCAGGAGGUUCACCCAAUAACAAUGCAACUAAUUUCCCUGAAGUUUACGAGAGGACCAUCCAUAAAAAUCGACAGGCCCCUGCUUUUUUCCUCAGGUUUCGCCAUAAACACAACAACUCAUAGUUAAACAACCCAGACAAAUAAACCAGUUACUCAAAAACAUUGAUUCUAUAGCGCAUGCCAUGCAAUGAACCGUCCGUUUAAGCAUUCUCAUCAUCUUUAAUAAUUCAAACACAAAAAUUACAUGAAAAACUCUGCCACAAGAGAAAUAGAAGGAACGAAAAAUCUGAAGAGAUCAUAAUACCUUGAAGUGAACUCUGAGAUCUAAGCCCCUGGCCUUGCAAGCUGUGGCACCAAAACAGCAAUCAUAAGAUGCACAGAAAACAACACUACGUAAUUUUAGCUAUUGAAUCAGACACCCGAGAUCCCAUCUCAGGAAAACCAAAUGUUCAGAAAACAAAACACAAAUGCCCUGUUUAUUCGCUAAGAAAUUGCGAAAAAGUAAAGAAAAAAAAAAUCUUGAAUCCUUAAACCAGAAAAUCCAGCUCCAAGAUAUAACAGAACUCCGAGUUUUUAUUUCAUUUCCUCUACAGCCAAACAGGUAGAGACAUUUGCAAAACGCAAAAAGGCUAACAAGAAAUCGAAGUGCUUACACUUGGUGGGAUUGUCUGGCUCUCUGGAGUACUUCACCUGAAAAAAUACGCCAAACAGAUGAUCAUUUAUAGAGCUACAAAGAACAAGAGGAAUGAAUGAGGAAAAAAAAAAAAGGGCACUACCAUGGCGGCUUAUGAUGCUGCUGCUUCCUCCUCCCUCAGACAAGUCGAUGAUUUUCCUCGAGAAGAUGAGCUUAAACCCUAACCCUUCUAAAGUGGGCUGGGCUGGGCUAGGCCAAUGGGCCCAAAAUGGGAUCUUGAUACCUAAUAGCAUUACUUAAAAUUAAAUUUGCUUUAGAUUACAUUUUCUAAGUUGUGCCCUCAUCCGAAGAUGAUGAACCUAGGAAUAACUAAAAUUGAUUUUAAAUAUAUUCAUUAUAUUUUAAGCAUGAAAUUUCAAAUGCAUUAGGGAUCUCAAAUUUAAAUGGUCCAAUCAAUCCAUUUAGACCAAAUGAAAUUACCCUCAACAAGCUUGAUUUGAUUUAGUCUUUUUCAUCACCAAAUGGGUCCAAUCUUCUUUACAAUAUUUAAUAUUGAUGUAUUAAAAUAAUUGUAAUCUCUUAAUAUUAAUGCAUCACUAUUUUUGAUAUGUCAUUAUAUCAGCAUUCUUAACUUUUAAAAGUACAGAAUUGAUUUUUAAUAUUACCAUAUUAAUUAAUAUGAUAUUAUAUCAAUUUAAAACAAAUAUAAUAAUUUGGUAAAAAUAUUUUUGUAGAAAUCUUGAUUCAUGGAGAGGAAACAAAAAUGGGUUACCCAUUUUUGGUUGUAAGUUUUGUCAAAGUGAAAGUGAAACCCACACUUGUAUAAUUCUUGAAGGGGAAUGAAAAGUUGGUAUCCAAACAAAAGGGAGGGACCUUUUUCAUUUCAUUCCAUAGGAAUGAAUCCCACUUCAAGUUUUUAAUUUUAGUAUAAACCAAAUAUCUUGGAGGCCAAUCUUUUCUCACAAGGAACUCUGCAAUGAAGCUCAGCCAAUUGAAAGCAGCAAUCCCACAAAGAAAAUUGAGUCAACUAUGAUGGCAAAGAACCCCAUGACACCUCAUAUAUGAUGAAUGUAUGUUUAGUGGCUUAAAUGAAAGUAGUUUUUCAGAACGAAUUCAUUUUUAUUCCUAUGCUCCUUGCAAAUGAUCCUAUUGUUUGUUAUAAACAGCCACAUUUGAUUACAAAGGCUACAUGUAAUCAUCUUAUUUUCGCAGUAAAAAUAGUCAGAAUGCUAGCACAAAGUUGAGAAAUAUAAUAUGAAAAAGGACAGCUUAUGCAGAGAUGAGAAAUAACCAUGUGAGCAUUGAACCAAACUUCUUGAUGAUUUGCACCAAAUGAAAGACUUUUUGGCCAAAAUAACCAUGGUUUGCAAUUAAUCGACUUGAUUAGGUCCAUUUAUAAGAGGACAAAACUAGGGUUAUUUCGGGGGUAUCUUCAUCUAAAAUUUCCAUAACUUUCCAAAAUACUCAACAAAAUUCUGAAAACAAAACAAAGUGGCUCAAAGACUCUCAAUAACCCCUGACUUUAUAUUAAGACAACAAACUCAUCUUAAAAUGAAAGAGUGACAAUUAAAAUUGGCAUGAAAAUUUCUUGAAGAGUUUACUAGCUCUAUCAUCAGAUUGCAAUUCGAGUAGAAGCACCACCGCGCAGAGACUUCUUGGAUUUGCCUGUCGCCAACUGAGUUUCAGGCUGCAAAACCCACCAAGAGUAGUAAGAUACUAAUCAAAACCAGGGCAACUAAUUUCUCCUAUAUUGCUCUCCCUUUGGGUUCUAUUCUUGAUGCAAUGACUAAUGAAUUACCUCCUUUUUAACAGGUUCUUCCUUUUCAGACAAAAUCAACUCAAUAUGGCAUGGUGAUGACAUAUAUGCUGCCAAACAAAUAGAAGGUUCCUGUUAACAUUUAGGAAAACAACCAUUACACAAAUGCUAGAUUUGAAAGGAAACAAACUUACGGUUGAUUCUUCCAUGAGCCCGGUAUGUGCGGCGCCUUUGUUUCUGUGCCUGGUUCACUUGGAUGUGAGAUAUGUAGAGUGAAUCAACAUCCAGACCUUUCAACUGUAAGAAUUGACAUUUAUUAGUUAGUUGGAAUUAUAGACAAAGCAGAGAAUACAUGGUGAAGGGCAAUUGAAUACAUACAUCAGCAUUACUCUCAGCAUUCUUAAGCAAAUCUAGGAUGAAUUUAGCAGAUUUGACAGGCCAGCGUCCUUGUCCAUUCGAAUGCCUGUUCUUUGCCUGAGCAGUUCGCCCAACACCUCUACAGAAGCGGGUGAAAGGUAUGGCUUGCUUGUGGACCAGAACAUCCUCCAAAUACCUUUUGGCCUUGGCCAAAGGCAACUUCCUAAUGGCAUGAGCAGUCUCCCUUGUGUUCUAUUGACACAAUAUAGAAAUGAGAAAUACAAUGAUGUGAGUUCACAAUAAACUCAGAUUUUCAGAGAGAAGGAUACAAAAAUGAACAACAUGAUAUCCAAAAAAAGAGAUGGGAGGAAAAGGAGACCCUGGUUGGACAAGAAGCAGGUGUACAGUGAUCUGCAACUUGAUACCAGCCUGGACCUAGCCUCUGGUCAAAAACCUAUGCUUGAAACCAAGCAAGGGUGACCUCAAAAGCCAAAAUAGCCUGGCUUACAAAUUACAUUAUAUAAUAAUAUAAUGAUAUAGUACAAUUAAAAAUUGCAUCAGUAUCUUUUUUGGCCAUCUUUAUAGGUAACAAACUGACCAUAACCAAUCAGACUAAUCCAGGUUUUAUAAUGCAAUCAUAUUCAGAGGAACAGCAACAAAAACAUCAAAGAUCUAACUAAAGGAACAUCUAACUUAAUAUAGACAGUGUAAAUACCACAACUAUAUAGUUUAAAUAACGAGUUAUUAGAAACACUAUGUUAGGAAGCUAACAGAACUUCAAAUAACAAUUUUGCAAUGGGAAUGCAGCUGGUGUGUGAAGGAAUCAUGUUAACAGACAUACCAUAGAGAAAGGCCAAUUUUUUGCCACAAGAAUGCAGUGAAGACACUAGUACAACUUAAAAUAAGAACUAUCCUACAGACCACUUAACAGAAAGAGUGACAUUCAUUUGAGAAUUGUAGGUGUAGUCAAACUCAUCACAAUGUGCCAUUAUUUACUGAGCCUUCCAUCACAAAAAACUCCAGAGGUUCACCCAAUAAUAAUGCAACUAAUUUCCCUGAAGUUUACGAGAGACCUGUCCACAAAGGCAACAAGCCCCUGCUUUUUUCAUCAGGUUUCGCAAACAAGACAAAAAUUUAGAUUUGAACAGUUAAAAGUAAAAAACAUUUGUCAUUAUUUACUGAUGGCAACCAUCACAAUGUGCCAUUAUUUACUGAGCCUUCCAUCACAAAAAACUCCAGAGGUUCACCCAAUAAUAAUGCAACUAAUUUCCCUGAAGUUUACGAGAGACCUGUCCACAAAGGCAACAAGCCCCUGCUUUUUUCAUCAGGUUUCGCAAAACAAGACAACAAUUUAGAUUUGAACAGUUCAAGUAAAAACCAUUUGUCAUUAUUUACUGAUGGCAACCAUCACAAUGUGCCAUUAUUUACUGAGCCUUCCAUCACAAUAAACUCCAGAGGUUCACCCAAUAAUAAUGCAACUAAUUUCCCUGAAGUUUACAAGAGACCUGUCCACAAAGGCAACAAGUCCCUGCUUUUUUCAUCAGGUUUUGCAAACAAGAAAACAAUUUAUAUUUGAACAAUCAAAGCAAAAGAUCAGUUAAUGAGAAAAUAUCAAAACCAUCUAUUUAUGCAAUGGAUAAUGAUUUUGCAAAGGGAAAUGCAGAUAAAAAGGGAUACAACAGCAAAAGACAAAACUAGCACUUCAAGAAUUUUUUUUUAAAAUAUUCUAAGAAUAAUUUUACAUACCAAUUUAUCAGAGAAACAAAUUUAGCAUCAUUUGCUGAAUCUUCAACCACCAAGAAAACAGGUUCAGCCACGAAGAAUGUGAGGAUUUCCCCCAAGUUUACAAUAAUCCCAUUCACAAAGGUAACAGAAAUAUGUUUUUUCCAUCAGGUUUUACAAUCAAGGAGAAACAAAACUAAUGAUACUUUUCACUUUCCCUUAAUCUGGUAGCAAAAAUUUACCAUAACAUGCUAAAUCUAACUAUAGAUUUUAUAUUUUAAUAAUAAGCAGAAAGGCAGGGAAACUUUAAUUUUUCUAUCAAAAAAAUAUAAGCACGGGAAAAAACAAAGCAAAGAUCAAACCAACCCACAUAAACUAAACAUAGAUAAUAGGAAAAAUAAAAAAACUUGUAUUCAUAUAAAUGAUGUCUAGAAACACUAUGUCAAUCAAACCAUACCAGAAGAAUGCAGACAAUAGUAUUGUCAUCACAAUAUAACCAGAUUGGAAAUGAUCUAACAAAUGUCACAAAGAAAGCCCCAAUAUUUUUUUCAUAAAGAAUACCAGGAGAACACCACUAAAACUUGGAAGAAAUUUAAAAUCAGAUACCGCUAAAAAGAAAGCAACACGCACUUAAGAACAACAAUCAGUUGAUGAAACUCAUCAUAAUGUACCAUUAUUUACUGAACCUUCAAUCACAAACAAUACUCAUGUGGUUCACCCAAUAACAAUGCAACUAAUUUCCCUGAAGUUUACGAGAGACCCAUUCACAAAAGGCAACAG